This 309-nucleotide unclassified non-coding RNA is filed under the name uncultured fungus. RNAcentral's name for it is "sequence contains ITS1, 5.8S rRNA gene". The stretch from base 261 to 309 matches the Rfam family "5.8S ribosomal RNA", at positions 1 to 49 of the family's 154-position model. Lineage: Eukaryota; Fungi. The record is from RNAcentral.
UUUCCGUUGGUGAACCUGCGGAAGGAUCAUUGUCGAUACCUGCCCAAGCAGAACGACCCGCGAACCCGUUUCAUACUCUAUCUAGGGGGGCCGCCAAGGUCCCCCUUCGUCGUCAGGGCGAGGGCGCCUGCACUCGCUCCGGCCGUCGAACAACGAACCCCGGCGCGGACUGCGCCAAGGAAUAUCAACGAGAGAGCUUGCUCCCGCCGCCCCGGGAACGGAGCGUGCCGGGGGCAGUGCCUUCCUCAAUUAUCCAUAACGACUCUCGGCAACGGAUAUCUCGGCUCUCGCAUCGAUGAAGAACGCAGC